AGGGAAUCUUCCACAAUGGACGAAAGUCUGAUGGAGCAACGCCGCGCGAGCGAAGAAGGUUUUCGGAUCGUAAAGCUCUGUUCGAGGGAAGAACAAGUACGGGAGUAACUGCCCGUACCUUGACGGUACCUCGUUAGAAAGCCACGGCUAACUACGUGCCAGCAGCCGCGGUAAUACGUAGGUGGCAAGCGUUGUCCGGAAUUAUUGGGCGUAAAGCGCGCGCAGACGGUCCUUUAAGUCUGAUGUGAAAGCCCACGGCUCAACCGUGGAGGGUCAUUGGAAACUGGAGGACUUGAGUACAGAAGAGGAAAGUGGAAUUCCACGUGUAGCGGUGAAAUGCGUAGAGAUGUGGAGGAACACCAGUGGCGAAGGCGACUUUCUGGUCUGUAACUGACGUUGAGGCGCGAAAGCGUGGGGAGCAAAC
This 424-nucleotide ribosomal RNA is filed under the name uncultured bacterium. RNAcentral's name for it is "bacterial SSU rRNA". It matches the Rfam family "Bacterial small subunit ribosomal RNA", at positions 356 to 773 of the family's 1533-position model. The record is from RNAcentral.